GAUGAACGCUGGCGGCGUGCCUAAUACAUGCAAGUCGAGCGAACAGAUGAGGAGCUUGCUCCUCUGACGUUAGCGGCGGACGGGUGAGUAACACGUGGAUAACCUACUUAUAAGACUGGGAUAACUUCGGGAAACCGGAGCUAAUACCGGAUAAUAUAUUGAACCGCAUGGUUCAAUAGUGAAAGACGGCUUUGCUGUCACUUAUAGAUGGAUCCGCGCCGCAUUAGCUAGUUGGUAAGGUAACGGCUUAACAAGGCAACGAUGCGUAGCCGACCUGAGAGGAUGAUCGGCCACACUGGAACUGAGACACGGUCCAGACUCCUACGGGAGGCAGCAGUGGGGAAUCUUCCGCAAUGGGCGAAAGCCUGACGGAGCAACGCCGCGUGAGUGAUGAAGGUCUUCGGGUCGUAAAACUCUGUUAUUAGGGAAGAACAAAUGUGUAAGUAACUAUGCACGUCUUGACGGUACCUAAUCAGAAAGCCACGGCUAACUACGUG
RNAcentral lists this ribosomal RNA (497 nucleotides) under uncultured bacterium. RNAcentral's name for it is "partial 16S ribosomal RNA". It matches the Rfam family "Bacterial small subunit ribosomal RNA", at positions 28 to 507 of the family's 1533-position model. The record is from RNAcentral.